CCAUAAUUACGGAAACAUCGAUAAUACCAAAAGGGAAACCAUCCCGACAUAGCCCAAACCGGGGUGUCACAAGUCAUGAGCAACUAAGAAAUCUGGAUACAAGUCUACUGAACACUAAUUCCGAUACAAUAGUUCUAAAACAUGAAAAUGAUAAGAUAAGGGAGGCACGGGGCUGCGAACGCCAACAGCUACCUCGUAGUCUCCGAAUCACUACCUAAACUGGGAGAAUCAGCACUUAGGAGCGGACUCUGCAAUACCUGAAUCUGCACACAUUAUGCAGGGAGUAAUGUGAGUACUCCGACUCAGUGAGUAAUAAUUAUAAAUAAUGGCUGAAAGUAUGAAAACACGUAAAGGCACAAAACAAUUCCAUAUCAAGUAGUAAAAUCACUUAAAGCAAUAAAUCAGUAUUGAAAUCAAAUGAUAUUUCUUUUUAAAACAAGUAAAAUAGGUAAUUUAACAGGUAAAUAACAAGUAGAAAAUCCGCCCCUCUAGUACAGUAUCAACAACUCAGAACAGUAUCAGUCCCUCACGCUUACUCUUAGAUCAUAAUGGGUACCCACGCUCACUGUGGGUGUGCAGACUCCGGAGGGGCCCCUUACGGCCCAAGCGCUAUAUCAAGCCACCUCGUGGCAUCAUCACUCGGUACUCGGCCUCACAUCACUCGGCACUCGGCCUUACAUCACUCAAGCCACCUCGUAGCAUAGAAAGUAUCUCAGGCCCUCGGCCUCAUAUAACUUAAUAUAUCCUCACAUAUGGCUCUCGGCCUCACUCAGUCCAAAAAUCAUCACAAGCCCCUUGGGCAUUAGUAAAAUAGUAGUUCUCAGCCCAAGACAUGAUGUAGAAAUAUUAUUUAAGUUUCAAAUCUGAGUAAAAGUGGCUGAGUUUGUAAAACAGUAGAUAUCAACGAGACUGAGUUCAAAUAAUAAGUCAAGCAGUCAGGAAACAGUGAUAAAAAUCCCCGAAGGGUUCAAAUAGUUGGCACGAUGCCCAAAUAUGGCAAUCAGCCCAAAUCAUGAUGAUAACAAAUGAAUUUCAGUCAAAUACGCGGUAAAAUCAUCAAUUGGGACAGACCAAUUCACAAUCCCCAGUAGUAAAAGACCUCACGCUCAUCAUCCAGUGCGUAUAUUGCCUCAAUAUAGCACUACGAUGUUCAAUCCGGGGUUUCAAACCCUCAGGACAACAUUUACAAUCAUUACUCACCUCAAGCCGGCCAAAACUCUAGCUCGCUAUGCCCUUGCCUCUCAAAUCGGCUUCCUCGCACGUCGAAUCUGACCAAAACCACAACGAAUACGUCACAAUAGGCUAAGGAAACAAUACCCAAUCGAAAAUAAUCGAAAAAUAUCAAAAAUUCCGAAAUUGGCAAAACCCGAGCCCCGGGCCCACUUCUCGAAACUCAAACAAAUUUACAUCAUUAGAUUCCUUAUCUCGCCACGAGUUUAUACAUAUAAAAAUCACAAGAAUCGGAGUUCAAUUGACCCCUCAAAUUCCUAAUCUUAGCUCUCUUAAGUUCAAGCCCUAACCUCCAUUUUUAGUCCAUGAUUUUCUUAAAUUUCCAGUCUUAAUUCAUGUAAUAACACCAUAGGAUUGUGUUUUAGGUCCAAAAAUCCUUACCUUAUCGAAGCUCCUUGAAAUUCCUCUUCAAAAUCGUCCAAAAUUCUCCAAGUCUGAAGUUAGAAAUGAGAAACCCUCCAAAAUUCGCGAAGAAGAACUUAAAUACCUUCUGCCCAGCCAUAACCGCAUCUGCGGUCAAAUAGCCGCUUCUGCGGUUGAAACUCUGCAUAUGCGGAACCCCAUUAAGUCCCGCCUAGCCGCAUCUGCGGUCCAAUAGCUGCAUAUGCGGCUCCCUAUCCGUAUCUGCGGUCCCAGCCAAUCCUUGCCUUUUCCGCUUCUGCGACCCCCAACCCGCAUCUGCGACACCGCACCUGCGGUCCCCAAACCGCAGGUGCGAAAAUACCUGAAGCACCAGAAAAUCUGCAACAACACAAGUCCAAACUCUUCCCGUUAGCCAUCCGAAACCAUGCCGAGGCCCUCGGGACCUCAACCAAACGCACCAACGCAUCUUAAAUCAUCAUUCAAAUUUGUUCCAAUCAUCAUAUCACCUCGAACAACACCAAAACUGUCAAUUCACAUCGAAUUCAAGCCUAAGUUCUUCUAAAACUUCCGAAACACGCAUUCGAUCAAAAACCCGACUAAAUCACCUCCAAACGACCUAAAAUUUUACACAACUCUCGGAAGUCCGUUCUGACCCUCGGAUCAAAAUCUCACCUACUAACCGGAAAUCGCCAAAAUACUAACUUCGCCAAAACAAGCUAAUUUCUACACCGGACCUCCAAAACCACUUCCGAUCACGCUCCUAAGUCAAAAAUCAUCCUCCGAAGCUAACCGAAUCAUCGGAAAUCACAUCCGAGCCCUCUAACUUAUAAGUCAACAUCCGGAUGACUUUUCCAAACUAAGUCUUCCUUAAAGAGACUAAGUGUCUCAUUUCCUACCAAAACCAAUCCAAAUCGACUCGAUCACACCAAUUACAGAUAAUGAAGCAUAAAGAAGCUGAAAACGGGGAAAACGGAGCAGUAACUCAUGAGACGACGGGUCGGGUCGUCACAAUCAGCUGGCCUUGUCUUCAUGAGAGGCGCCAUCACGACCAGGUCUGGGUUUAGGGUCGUGACAUUCACAUUCACUUCGGGGCAUUCCCCUGAUAAAAUAUGAAAAUAUAUGUACAAACUCUGCGGAGCAUUCCCCUGAAUAAAAACUAAAGGGAACGACCUCUUGCCUCGAGUAAAAUAAAAGACGAGACCUAAAAUUUACCUACCCAAAUGAUGACGUCCUAAGUAUGCUACUAGCGGAAAAAUAAAGAGCUAAUAAUAACUAAAUAGAAAUACUAAACUUUAAACGCAAUUCUGUUUUCUUUCAAUUUUCAAUUCCACGACCUUUUGAUUCAAGCCUGACUAAUGAAAUAAUGAUCCCAUCACUUUUCUUUUAACAUGAUUCCACCCCCCCCCCCCCUCCCCAAACUGCCCAAACCAAAUUAAGAUUAAUGAUCCUUUUCUAAAUAUUAAUCAAGUUAAGCAACUUAAAAUAUACUUUUAACAAAGAAUACAUAAACUAAAUGAUGAACAAAUCAAACAGAAGCAGUUUUAAUCAAGAACGAAAAGUAAUAGGCAACCAAAUCAAGAUUCCAUUCAUUGCAUCGAGAAAACAGAUCUUAAAACUAAAGAGCAAAUACAGUUUAGAAUUGGACCUUUAUAGUUGUAACAUGUUUUUGAAACAAUGAACAAGAAAACUUCUGGCUAGAGUUGAUGAUCUCGACGGACCGGACCUUGACAACCACAAAACUUCAAUACUCAUCUCCGAAUAGAUCUCACAAACGAGCUCAAAAAUGGACUCAAACUAGCGAAACUUCAGCAGCAAAAAUGAGGCUCAAGGCAACCCAGAAAUUGAACUUCAAAAUCCCCUAAAAAAUUGUUUGCAAACUGAAAAGAAAAUCAGAAAACUUUUGCUUCUUUUUCAAAGGGAAUUUCGGCUAAAAUAAGGCUUAGGAUAUCAACUGUUUUGUAGUAUGGUAAGGCAUCCAACAAUCUCCUAAACACUGUAAGAUCAGAUAAUGAACAAGGCAAGCCUUCGAUUGGGGGACUGAGCAAUGAAGAAUGUACAUCGAAUUUGAGGUAGGGCCAAAUGUAGAGGAUGUAUGAGGUGGCUAUUGUUCCGUUUGUGAGAAUAUGGGUAGAUGAGGUUUGGUUCGUUUCUUGGGGUCGGCUGACUCUGCUAGAGUGGGAGGGGUCCGGCCGCUGACCUAUCUAGGGUUCCUUAGAAAUUUUUGUGGUGUUGCUCGAAGGUUGUUGCUAGAUUUCCGGCCACUCACUGGUGAAGCAGUGGUAGCAGAAGAAACAAGGGGAGGGAGAGAGAGUGAGGUAAGAGAAGAGUGGAGGGGAGAAGGUGGGGCGGCUGGAGUAGUCCUUCUCCUUUGGUUGGGCGGCUGAAGGUGUAGAAAAGGAAGAGUGGGGUUCGGC
RNAcentral lists this long non-coding RNA (4007 nucleotides) under Nicotiana tabacum (common tobacco). RNAcentral's name for it is "long non-coding RNA (NTAB_LNC016100)". The record is from RNAcentral. Lineage: Eukaryota; Viridiplantae; Streptophyta; Magnoliopsida; Solanales; Solanaceae.